This 492-nucleotide ribosomal RNA is filed under the name uncultured bacterium. Its description in RNAcentral is "partial 16S ribosomal RNA". It matches the Rfam family "Bacterial small subunit ribosomal RNA", at positions 29 to 507 of the family's 1533-position model. The record is from RNAcentral.
AGUGAACGCUGGCGGUAGGCCUAACACAUGCAAGUCGAACGGCAGCACAGUAAGAGCUUGCUCUUACGGGUGGCGAGUGGCGGACGGGUGAGGAAUACAUCGGAAUCUACUUUUUCGGGGGGGAUAACGUAGGGAAACUUACGCUAAUACCGCAUACGACCUACGGGGGAAAGCAGGGGAUCGUCGGACCGUGCGCGGUUGGAUGAGCCGAUGUCGGAUUAGCUAGUUGGCGGGGUAAAGGCCUACCAAGGCGACGAUCCGUGGCUGGUCUGAGAGGCUGAUAAGCCACACUGGAACUGAGACACGGUCCAGACUCCUACGGGAGGCAGCAGUCGGGAAUAUUGGACAAUGGGCGCAAGCCUGAUCCAGCCAUCCCGCGUGGGUGACGACGGCCUUCCGGUUGUAAAGCCCUUUUGUUGGGAAAGAACAGCAGCCGGUUAAUACCCAGCUGUUCUGACGGUACCCAAAGAAUAAGCACCGGCUAACUUCGUG